CCUACGGGAGGCAGCAGUGAGGAAUAUUGGUCAAUGGGCGAGAGCCUGAACCAGCCAAGUCGCGUGAAGGAUGACGGCCCUACGGGUUGUAAACUUCUUUUGUCAGGGAGCAAUUGGGUCCACGCGUGGGCUGAGCGAGAGUACCUGCAGAAAAAGCAGCGGCUAACUCCGUGCCAGCAGCCGCGGGAAGACGGAGGAUGCGAGCGUUGUCCGGAUUUAUUGGGUUUAAAGGGUUCGUACGCGGUAUAUCAAGUCAGCGGUAAACAUUCGGGGCUCAACCCCGUCGUGCCGUUGAAACUGAUGUUCUGGUGUGGGCGAGAAUGAUGCGGAAUGCGUGGUGUAGCGGUGAAAUGCAUAGAUAUCACGCAGAACUCCGAUUGCGAAGGCAGCAUACCGGCGCCCAACUGACGCUGCAGCACGAAAGCGUGGGUAUCGAACAGGAUUAGAUACCCGGGUAGUC
RNAcentral lists this ribosomal RNA (460 nucleotides) under uncultured bacterium. Its description in RNAcentral is "partial 16S ribosomal RNA". It matches the Rfam family "Bacterial small subunit ribosomal RNA", at positions 338 to 795 of the family's 1533-position model. The record is from RNAcentral.